Molecule: ribosomal RNA, 765 nt
Filed under: uncultured Streptococcus sp.
Lineage: Bacteria; Bacillati; Bacillota; Bacilli; Lactobacillales; Streptococcaceae
Description: bacterial SSU rRNA
Rfam family: Bacterial small subunit ribosomal RNA
Source: RNAcentral
GACGAACGCUGGCGGCGUGCCUAAUACAUGCAAGUAGAACGCUGAAGGAAGGAGCUUGCUCUUUCCGGAUGAGUUGCGAACGGGUGAGUAACGCGUAGGUAACCUGCCUGGUAGCGGGGGAUAACUAUUGGAAACGAUAGCUAAUACCGCAUAACAGUAGAUAUCGCAUGAUAUGUGCUUAAAAGGUGCAAUUGCACCACUACCAGAUGGACCUGCGUUGUAUUAGCUAGUUGGUGAGGUAACGGCUCACCAAGGCAACGAUACAUAGCCGACCUGAGAGGGUGAUCGGCCACACUGGGACUGAGACACGGCCCAGACUCCUACGGGAGGCAGCAGUAGGGAAUCUUCGGCAAUGGACGGAAGUCUGACCGAGCAACGCCGCGUGAGUGAAGAAGGUUUUCGGAUCGUAAAGCUCUGUUGUAAGAGAAGAACGAGUGUGAGAGUGGAAAGUUCACACUGUGACGGUAUCUUACCAGAAAGGGACGGCUAACUACGUGCCAGCAGCCGCGGUAAUACGUAGGUCCCGAGCGUUGUCCGGAUUUAUUGGGCGUAAAGCGAGCGCAGGCGGUUAGAUAAGUCUGAAGUUAAAGGCUGUGGCUUAACCAUAGUACGCUUUGGAAACUGUUUAACUUGAGUGCAAGAGGGGAGAGUGGAAUUCCAUGUGUAGCGGUGAAAUGCGUAGAUAUAUGGAGGAACACCGGUGGCGAAAGCGGCUCUCUGGCUUGUAACUGACGCUGAGGCUCGAAAGCGUGGGGAGCAAACAGG